UGUCUACGGCCAUACUACCCUGAACGCGCCCGAUCUCGUCUGAUCUCGGAAGCUAAGCAGGGUCGGGCCUGGUUAGUACUUGGAUGGGAAACCAGAUGCUUAAAAAAGAAGUUAUAACAU
Mustela putorius furo (domestic ferret) is the source of this 120-nucleotide ribosomal RNA. The record is from Ensembl. NCBI's taxonomy places the organism in Eukaryota, Metazoa, Chordata, Mammalia, Carnivora, Mustelidae.